UACGAAGGGGGCUAGCGUUGCUCGGAAUCACUGGGCGUAAAGGGUGCGUAGGCGGGUCUUUUAAGUCAGAGGUGAAAUCCUGGAGCUCAACUCCAGAACUGCCUUUGAUACUGAAGAUCUUGAGUUCGGGAGAGGUGAGUGGAACUGCGAGUGUAGAGGUGAAAUUCGUAGAUAUUCGCAAGAACACCAGUGGCGAAGGCGGCUCACUGGCCCGAUACUGACGCUGAUGCACGAAAGCGUGGGGGAGCAAACAGG
Molecule: ribosomal RNA, 255 nt
Filed under: uncultured bacterium
Lineage: Bacteria
Description: partial 16S ribosomal RNA
Rfam family: Bacterial small subunit ribosomal RNA
Source: RNAcentral